AUAUUGGUCAAUGGAUGGAAGUCUGAACCAGCCAUGCCGCGUGAGUGAUGAAGGCCUUAGGGUUGUAAAGCUCUUUUACCCGGGAUGAUAAUGACAGUACCGGGAGAAUAAGCCCCGGCUAACUCCGUGCCAGCGGCCGCGGUAAUACGGAGGGGGCUAGCGUUGUUCGGAAUUACUGGGCGUAAAGCGCACGUAGGCGGCGAUUUAAGUCAGAGGUGAAAGCCCGGGGCUCAACCCCGGAAUAGCCUUUGAGACUGGAUUGCUUGAACAUCGGAGAGGUGAGUGGAAUUCCGAGUGUAGAGGUGAAAUUCGUAGAUAUUCGGAAGAACACCAGUGGCGAAGGCGGCUCACUGGACGAUUGUUGACGCUGAGGUGCGAAAGCGUGGGGAGCAAACGGG
This 398-nucleotide ribosomal RNA is filed under the name uncultured bacterium. Its description in RNAcentral is "bacterial SSU rRNA". It matches the Rfam family "Bacterial small subunit ribosomal RNA", at positions 361 to 776 of the family's 1533-position model. The record is from RNAcentral.